UGGCUCAGAACGAACGCUGGCGGCAGGCCUAACACAUGCAAGUCGAGCGCCCCGCAAGGGGAGCGGCAGACGGGAGAGUAACACGUGGGAACGUGCCCUUCAGUUCGGAACAACCCAGGGAAACUUGGGCUAAUACCGGAUACGUCCGUAAGGAGAAAGAUUUAUCGCUGAAGGAUCGGCCCGCGUCUGAUUAGCUAGUUGGUGGGGUAAUGGCCCACCAAGGCGAGGAUCAGUAGCUGGUCUGAGAGGAUGAUCAGCCUCACUGGGACUGUUUUCACGGCCCAGGGACCUACGGGAGGCAUCAUCCGGAUCUUGGA
Molecule: ribosomal RNA, 317 nt
Filed under: uncultured Hyphomicrobiales bacterium
Lineage: Bacteria; Pseudomonadati; Pseudomonadota; Alphaproteobacteria; Hyphomicrobiales
Description: bacterial SSU rRNA
Rfam family: Bacterial small subunit ribosomal RNA
Source: RNAcentral